RNAcentral lists this long non-coding RNA (206 nucleotides) under Elaeis guineensis (African oil palm). Its description in RNAcentral is "long non-coding RNA (EGUI_LNC056289)". The record is from RNAcentral. Lineage: Eukaryota; Viridiplantae; Streptophyta; Magnoliopsida; Arecales; Arecaceae.
UUCUUCAUAUAUUAUUUAAAAAAAAAAAUUUUCAAGUACUUCAUGCUGAGUAAUCGGGCCUCUUUACCUAAGCAAACAUUGAGUUUUGCAUCAAAAAAUAUGAAGGGCAAAGAAGCUUUGUUAUAAUGUUAGUUUUAACUUGUAGCCUGUUUGAUUUGAGCAAGUAGGUCUGAGGAAUAUUUUAUACCUAGUGCCCUAAAGCCAUC